RNAcentral lists this unclassified non-coding RNA (363 nucleotides) under uncultured bacterium. RNAcentral's name for it is "contains 16S-23S intergenic spacer region". The record is from RNAcentral.
UCCCCGUUACCGGGGCAGUCUGGCUAGAAAAAUACAACUAACCAUAAGGGUUGCGCUCGUUAAUGGACUUAACCAAACAUCUCACGACACGAGCUGACGACGGCCAUGCAACACCUGUCAUUAGGUUCAAUAAAGCACUCACUACUUUCAUAGUAAUUCCUAAGAUGUCAAACCCUGGUAAGGUUCUUCGCUUACCAUCGAAUUAAACAACACGCUCCACCGCUUGUGCGGGUCCCCGUCAAUUCCUUUAUGUUUUAGCCUUGCGGCCGUACUCCACAGGCGGGAUGCUUAACGCGUUAGCUUCGCUACCGAAGGGGUCGAUACCUCCAACAGCUAGCAUCCAUCGUUUACGGCGUGGACUAC